This 253-nucleotide ribosomal RNA is filed under the name uncultured bacterium. Its description in RNAcentral is "partial 16S ribosomal RNA". It matches the Rfam family "Bacterial small subunit ribosomal RNA", at positions 524 to 776 of the family's 1533-position model. The record is from RNAcentral.
UACGGAGGAUCCGAGCGUUAUCCGGAUUUAUUGGGUUUAAAGGGUGCGUAGGCGGCCUGUUAAGUCAGGGGUGAAAGACGGUAGCUCAACUAUCGCAGUGCCCUUGAUACUGAUGGGCUUGAAUAUACUAGGGGUAGGCGGAAUGUGACAAGUAGCGGUGAAAUGCAUAGAUAUGUCACAGAACACCAAUUGCGAAGGCAGCUUACUAUGGUAUAAUUGACGCUGAGGCACGAAAGCGUGGGGAUCAAACAGG